UCUAUAUCAACCGACCUAACUCCCUAUUGCAGAUGUCCUUCAAGAUAGAGCAACAACCAGAGACGCGAAGGUGAGUGGAAUUUGCUCUCCCAUUACUCCGGUCUUCUUCACAUGCUUGACAUUUAAUUUCUUUGCUGCGCUUCUUGGUUUUCCUCAAUUUCAUCAAUGCAAAACGGAUGCAUAUGAUCAAAUGAAUUCUCUUCUUAUGCUAGAGAUCCUCCAUAUCUUGGGCUAUAGCUAGAAAUAUGCAGACAACCUCAGUAGUAUCACGCUUGGCAAUUUUGCUACCGUUAAUUAUCAUACAUAGCUUCUCCUGUAGCUGCGUUUUUGGUGUUACCGUAGAGUGUUUUAUGUAUUGUCCAUGUCACUGAUUCAAGCAACUUUCUGACCUGCAGGAAUCCUCAUUUAUCAAACAGGACUGAGGCAGCUGGAAGAGGGGAAGUUUAGUAUGAGAGAGAGAGAGAAAGGAUGGGGUGGGUGGAGCUGUUGCUGCUGCUGCUGACAUUGAGUUCAAUGGGUUUAACAAUUGUAGAAAGCGCAUCGACAAAGGAACCUCUNNN
RNAcentral lists this long non-coding RNA (560 nucleotides) under Musa acuminata (dwarf banana). RNAcentral describes it as "long non-coding RNA (MACU_LNC011337)". Lineage: Eukaryota; Viridiplantae; Streptophyta; Magnoliopsida; Zingiberales; Musaceae. The record is from RNAcentral.